UCUGAAAUGUGCUAACCCUCCCUUACC
RNAcentral lists this non-coding RNA (27 nucleotides) under Mus musculus (house mouse). Lineage: Eukaryota; Metazoa; Chordata; Mammalia; Rodentia; Muridae. The record is from RNAcentral.